RNAcentral lists this ribosomal RNA (303 nucleotides) under uncultured bacterium. RNAcentral describes it as "partial 16S ribosomal RNA". It matches the Rfam family "Bacterial small subunit ribosomal RNA", at positions 507 to 807 of the family's 1533-position model. The record is from RNAcentral.
AGCAGCCGCCGCGGUAAUACGUAGGUGGCAAGCGUUGUCCGGAAUUAUUGGGCGUAAAGGGCUCGCAGGCGGUUUCUUAAGUCUGAUGUGAAAGCCCCCGGCUCAACCGGGGAGGGUCAUUGGAAACUGGGAAACUUGAGUGCAGAAGAGGAGAGUGGAAUUCCACGUGUAGCGGUGAAAUGCGUAGAGAUGUGGAGGAACACCAGUGGCGAAGGCGACUCUCUGGUCUGUAACUGACGCUGAGGAGCGAAAGCGUGGGGAGCGAACGGGAUUAGAUACCCCAGUAGUCCCUGUCUCUUAUAC